This 299-nucleotide signal recognition particle RNA is filed under the name Cebus imitator (Panamanian white-faced capuchin). RNAcentral describes it as "Metazoan signal recognition particle RNA (ENSCCAG00000010992.1)". It matches the Rfam family "Metazoan signal recognition particle RNA". Rfam says of the family: The signal recognition particle (SRP) is a universally conserved ribonucleoprotein. It is involved in the co-translational targeting of proteins to membranes. The eukaryotic SRP consists of a 300-nucleotide 7S RNA and six proteins: SRPs 72, 68, 54, 19, 14, and 9. Lineage: Eukaryota; Metazoa; Chordata; Mammalia; Primates; Cebidae. The record is from RNAcentral.
GCCAGGCACGGUAGUGCGUGUCUGUAGUCCCAGCUACUCGGGAGGCUGAGGUAUGAGGAUCGUUUGAGCCCAGGAGUUCUGGACUGCAGUGAGCUAUGCCAAUUGGGUGUCCGCACUAAGUUCGGCAUCAAUAUGGUGACCUCCUGGGAGCGGGGGACCACUAGGUUGCCUAAGGAGGGGUGAACUGGCCCAGGUCGGAAACGGAGCAGGUCAAAACUCCUGUGCUGAUCAGUAGUGGGAUUGCGCCUGUGAAUAGCCACUGCACUCCAGCCUGGGCACCAUAGUGAGACCCCGUCUCU